AUUGAACGCUGGCGGCAUGCCUUACACAUGCAAGUCGAACGGUAACAGGUCUUCGGAUGCUGACGAAUGGCGAACGGGUGAGUAAUACAUCGGAACGUGCCUAGUAGUGGGGGAUAACUACUCGAAAGAGUGGCUAAUACCGCAUGAGAUCUACGGAUGAAAGCAGGGGAUCGCAAGACCUUGUGCUACUAGAGCGGCCGAUGGCAGAUUAGGUAGUUGGUGGGAUAAAAGCCUACCAAGCCGACGAUCUGUAGCUGGUCUGAGAGGACGAUCAGCCACACUGGGAAUGAGACACGGCCCAGACUCCUACGGGAGGCAGCGGUGGGGAAUUUUGGACAAUGGGCGAAAGCCUGAUCCAGCAAUGCCGCGUGCAGGAUGAAGGCCUUCGGGUUGUAAACUGCUUUUGUACGGAACGAAAAGCCCCGGGUUAAUACCCUGGGGUCAUGACGGUACCGUAAGAAUAAGCACCGGCUAACUACGUGCCAGCCGCCGCCGUAA
This 498-nucleotide ribosomal RNA is filed under the name uncultured bacterium. RNAcentral describes it as "partial 16S ribosomal RNA". It matches the Rfam family "Bacterial small subunit ribosomal RNA", at positions 30 to 523 of the family's 1533-position model. The record is from RNAcentral.